UAGAGUUUGAUCCUGGCUCAGGAUGAACGCUAGCUACAGGCUUAACACAUGCAAGUCGAGGGGCAGCAUGGUCUUAGCUUGCUAAGGCCGAUGGCGACCGGCGCACGGGUGAGUAACGCGUAUCCAACCUGCCUUACACUCUUGGACAGCCUUCUGAAAGGGAGAUUAAUACAAGAUGUUAUCAUGAGUAAGCAUUUUCGCAUGAUUAAAGGUUUACCGGUGUAAGAUGGGGAUGCGUUCCAUUAGAUAGUAGGCGGGGUAACGGCCCACCUAGUCUUCGAUGGAUAGGGGUUCUGAGAGGAAGGUCCCCCACAUUGGAACUGAGACACGGUCCAAACUCCUACGGGAGGCAGCAGUGAGGAAUAUUGGUCAAUGGACGAGAGUCUGAACCAGCCAAGUAGCGUGAAGGAUGAAGGUUCUAUGGAUUGUAAACUUCUUUUAUACGGGAAUAAACGAAUCCACGUGUGGAUUUUUGCAUGUACCGUAUGAAUAAGGAUCGGCUAACUCCGUGCCAGCAGCCGCGGUAAUACGGAGGAUCCGAGCGUUAUCCGGAUUUAUUGGGUUUAAAGGGAGCGUAGAUGGGUUGUUAAGUCAGUUGUGAAAGUUUGCGGCUCAACCGUAAAAUUGCAAUUGAUACUGGCAGUCUUGAGUACAGUUGAGGCAGCGGAAUUCGUGGUGUAGCGGUGAAUGCUUAGAUAUCACGAAGACUUCCGAUUGCGAAGGCAGCUUACUAACUGUAACUGACAUGAUGCUCGAAGUGGGGUUCAAACAGAUAGA
RNAcentral lists this ribosomal RNA (777 nucleotides) under uncultured Bacteroides sp. RNAcentral's name for it is "bacterial SSU rRNA". It matches the Rfam family "Bacterial small subunit ribosomal RNA", at positions 1 to 782 of the family's 1533-position model. The record is from RNAcentral. Lineage: Bacteria; Pseudomonadati; Bacteroidota; Bacteroidia; Bacteroidales; Bacteroidaceae.